GAUGAAGAACGUAGUGAAAUGCGAUAAGUAAUGUGAAUUGCAGAAUUCAGUGAAUCAUCGAAUCUUUGAACGCACAUUGCGCCCCUUGGUAUUCCGGGGGGCAUGCCUGUUCGAGCGUCAUUUCAACCCUCAAGCUCAGCUUGGUAUUGAGUCCAUGUCAGUAAUGGCAGGCUCUAAAAUCAGUGGCGGCGCCGCUGGGUCCUGAACGUAGUAAUAUCUCUCGUUACAGGUUCUCGGUGUGCUUCUGCCAAAACCCAAAUUUUCUAUGGUUGACCUCGGAUCAGGUAGGGAUACCCGCUGAACUUAAGCAUAUCAAUAAGCGAGGA
Molecule: unclassified non-coding RNA, 326 nt
Filed under: soil metagenome
Description: partial contains 5.8S ribosomal RNA, internal transcribed spacer 2, and large subunit ribosomal RNA
Rfam family: 5.8S ribosomal RNA (bases 1-120)
Source: RNAcentral